This is a long non-coding RNA of Engraulis encrasicolus (European anchovy), 924 nucleotides long. RefSeq lists it as uncharacterized. NCBI's taxonomy places the organism in Eukaryota, Metazoa, Chordata, Actinopteri, Clupeiformes, Engraulidae. The transcript has 2 exons. The record is from RefSeq and is a predicted model, not a curated record.
UUUAAAAAAAAAAUACUUGAGGAGAAAAGGGUAAAAGAUUUUCACACCGCCCGCAAAGGAUGUUGUAAAAACAUUUCAAUCAUAUUAUUAGUACACCUUCUUCAGACAAUUUAUCUUGUGCUUUCCAUCAGUAUUAAAUGACAUUAUUUAUUUAAUAUGUUAUAUGGUCCAUAUUAACUUCCCAGUUUAAUCUCUGUUUUAUUAGUCUUUUUUAUUAUUUUUAUUUCUGCAAAACAUGUCAGUUGAUUAAUGCAGGUUUCCUUUGCUGGGGCUGUCAGUUAUAAAAAGCAGAGGCAACUUAGCAUUCAAAAAAGAGGAGAGAAGAGGAGAGAGAGAUGAGGAGAGAGGAGAAGACAGAUGAGGAGAGGAGAGAGGAGAGGAGAGAGAGAGAUGAGGAGAGGGGGAAGAGAGCAGCAGUUGAGAGAUAGCAGAGGUAACGUAGAAGGAAGGCAGAGGAGAGGAGAAGAGAAGAGAGAAGGAGGAGAGGAGAAAAGAGGAGAGCAGCAGUUGAGAGAGAUGUGGACUGUAGAAGAGAGAGGUGAAGAAAAGGAUAGAGGGAGAGAGAAAUAGAUAGAUAUAGAACCCACACCAACACACAGCAAUAAAAGAUCAGCAUUGUGAUGGAGAGCCAGAGACAGAAAUAAAGAGGUCGGACUCGAGAUGGGUCAUGGUGCUCAGGUCUUGCAUUGGAUACUCUCUUACCCACAGAGGAACAGACAGCCAAGGAGACAUGACGAUACCAAGGAGACAUGACGAUACCAAGGUGACAUGACAUUACCAAGGUGACAUUACCAAGGUGACAUGACAUUACCAAGGUGACAUGACAUUACCAAGGUGACAUUACCAAGGUGACAUGACAUUACGAAGGUGACAACGUUGCCAAGGAGACAUGAUGUUACCAAGGUGACAUUACCAAGGAGACAU